This 433-nucleotide ribosomal RNA is filed under the name uncultured bacterium. Its description in RNAcentral is "partial 16S ribosomal RNA". It matches the Rfam family "Bacterial small subunit ribosomal RNA", at positions 29 to 507 of the family's 1533-position model. The record is from RNAcentral.
AACGAACGCUGGCGGCAUGCCUAACACAUGCAAGUCGAACGAGACCUUCGGGUCUAGUGGCGCACGGGUGCGUAACGCGUGGGAACCUGCCCUUAGGUUCGGAAUAACUCCCCGAAAGGGGUGCUAAUACCGGAUAAUGUCUUCGGACCAAAGAUUUAUCGCCUUUGGAUGGGCCCGCGUUGGAUUAGCUAGUUGGUAGGGUAAAAGCCUACCAAGGCGACGAUCCAUAGCUGGUCUGAGAGGAUGAUCAGCCACACUGGGACUGAGACACGGCCCAGACUCCUACGGGAGGCAGCAGUAGGGAAUAUUGGAAAAUGGGCGAAAGCCUGAUCCAGCCAUGGCGGGUUAGUGAUGAAGGCCUUAGGGUUGUAAAGCUCUUUUACCCGGGAUGAUAAUGACAGUACCGGGAGAAUAAGCUCCGGCUAACUCCGUG